AUCUCGCGGCCUAUCAGCUUGUUGGUGAGGUAAUGGCUCACCAAGGCGACGACGGGUAGCCGGCCUGAGAGGGUGACCGGCCACACUGGGACUGAGACACGGCCCAGACUCCUACGGGAGGCAGCAGUGGGGAAUAUUGCACAAUGGGCGAAAGCCUGAUGCAGCGACGCCGCGUGAGGGAUGACGGCCUUCGGGUUGUAAACCUCUUUCAGUAGGGAAGAAGCGAAAGUGACGGUACCUGCAGAAGAAGCGCCGGCUAACUACGUGCCAGCAGCCGCGGUAAUACGUAGGGCGCAAGCGUUAUCCGGAAUUAUUGGGCGUAAAGAGCUCGUAGGCGGUUUGUCGCGUCUGCCGUGAAAGUCCGGGGCUCAACUCCGGAUCUGCGGUGGGUACGGGCAGACUAGAGUGAUGUAGGGGAGACUGGAAUUCCUGGUGUAGCGGUGAAAUGCGCAGAUAUCAGGAGGAACACCGAUGGCGAAGGCAGGUCUCUGGGCAUUAACUGACGCUGAGGAGCGAAAGCAUGGGGAGCGAACAGGAUUAGAUACCCUGGUAGUCCAUGCCGUAAACGUUGGGCACUAGGUGUGGGGGACAUUCCACGUUUUCCGCGCCGUAGCUAACGCAUUAAGUGCCCCGCCUGGGGAGUACGGAAGCUUGGAAUUCG
Molecule: ribosomal RNA, 661 nt
Filed under: uncultured Arthrobacter sp.
Lineage: Bacteria; Bacillati; Actinomycetota; Actinomycetes; Micrococcales; Micrococcaceae
Description: bacterial SSU rRNA
Rfam family: Bacterial small subunit ribosomal RNA
Source: RNAcentral